This 404-nucleotide ribosomal RNA is filed under the name Verrucomicrobiota bacterium. RNAcentral describes it as "Verrucomicrobia bacterium partial 16S ribosomal RNA". It matches the Rfam family "Bacterial small subunit ribosomal RNA", at positions 355 to 776 of the family's 1533-position model. Lineage: Bacteria; Pseudomonadati; Verrucomicrobiota. The record is from RNAcentral.
UGGGGAAUAUUGCACAAUGGGGGAAACCCUGAUGCAGCGACGCCGCGUGAGCGAAGAAGGCCUUCGGGUCGUAAAGCUCUUUUAUGAGGGAAGAUAAUGACGGUACCUCAAGAAAAAGCCCCGGCUAACUACGUGCCAGCAGCCGCGGUAAUACGUAGGGGGCUAGCGUUGUCCGGAAUCACUGGGCGUAAAGGGUUCGCAGGCGGAAUAACAAGUCAGAUGUGAAAGGCAUGGGCUCAACCCAUGUAAGCAUUUGAAACUGUAAUUCUUGAGAAGUGGAGAGGGAAGUGGAAUUCCUAGUGUAGCGGUGAAAUGCGUAGAUAUUAGGAGGAAUACCUGUGGCGAAGGCGACUUACUGGACACAAAUCUGACGCUGAGGAACGAAAGCGUGGGUAGCAAACAGG